CAGCCACCUUAUCAGUGUCCGAAGCCAACACUCCAGCUAUUAACCCUCCUAAAUCUAUUGUACUCAAUGAGAACCCAGUAGCUACCUGUUCUUUACACUUCCAGUUGCUAACUCCUCUGCUCUUUACACGUUUCUUGCUGUAGAAGCCCUUUCAUGACAUCCAGUGACAAACUGACUUUCCUCAUUUCUCCAGCUUCCAAGUCCUGAUAGGCUUCUCCUUAGAAUAAGACCACCCCAGCAACCUGAUAUUGCAGAGUACCUUCAACUGCCCUUGCGAUCAGGUCCUUGAUGCUGAAUACCUCUGCCAAACAGAAGCCCCUACUACUCUUCUUGACUUCGGAUGAGAAAUAAUCAUUAAACUCAUUUAUGAGAUUGAAAUAAUACAAAAACCGGAUUUUAAUGAUACCUCAAGGAGAUUGGACCUCAUGCAGACCUGGCUACCUGACCCAUGGAAAAAGCCAGAAUUCCAUUCCCAUCGGCUCUUCCCAGUCUUGGGUGAGCUUGGAGAUGGUGAGAUGUGUUCAAAAUAUAUCCCCUUUGAGAUGACAUUUGGAGCUCUGGUGUGAGGAGAAUUGCUAGUAGUGGCUGCAGACUGCUAUUAAAAUGAAAAGGAGAAACAGCAGAGGCAAGUAAUAACUAGGGAUUUUCUCUGUUAAAAGAUCCAAAAUUCUCUAAUUAAAAAAACCCCAAAUCCACAUUUUCCAUGAUUAAAAUGAAAAGCCGCUAUCUCUCUCUCUCUCUCUCUCUCUCUCUCUCUCUCUCUGUGUAUAUAUAUGUAUAUGUGUGUGUGUGUGUAUGUGUGUGUGUGUGUAUAUAUAUAUAUAUAGAUAGAUAGAUAGAUAUAGAUAUGUCUGUAUAUAGAUAUGUAUGGGUGUGUGUAUGUAUGUAUGCGUGUGUGUAUAUAUACACAUCAGCUGAACACAAUGUUUUAUAGAUAUAUUUACAACUUAAAAGCAGUUUGGAAGCCUACCAGUGCCUCAAUCAUUAUAAUAAAAUAAAUUAUAAAUAUCUAUAUAUUUUGGCA
RNAcentral lists this long non-coding RNA (1024 nucleotides) under Crocodylus porosus (Australian saltwater crocodile). RNAcentral's name for it is "lncRNA (ENSCPRG00005007452.1)". Lineage: Eukaryota; Metazoa; Chordata; Crocodylia; Crocodylidae. The record is from RNAcentral.